Molecule: ribosomal RNA, 468 nt
Filed under: uncultured bacterium
Lineage: Bacteria
Description: partial 16S ribosomal RNA
Rfam family: Bacterial small subunit ribosomal RNA
Source: RNAcentral
GACGAACGCUGGCGGCGUGCUUAACACAUGCAAGUCGAACGGAAAGGCCCUGCUUUUGUGGGGUGCUCGAGUGGCGAACGGGUGAGUAACACGUGAGUAACCUGCCCUUGACUUUGGGAUAACUUCAGGAAACUGGGGCUAAUACCGGAUAGGAGCUCCUGCUGCAUGGUGGGGGUUGGAAAGUUUCGGCGGUUGGGGAUGGACUCGCGGCUUAUCAGCUUGUUGGUGGGGUAGUGGCUUACCAAGGCUUUGACGGGUAGCCGGCCUGAGAGGGUGACCGGCCACAUUGGGACUGAGAUACGGCCCAGACUCAUACGGGAGGCAGCAGUGGGGAAUAUUGCACAAUGGGCGGAAGCCUGAUGCAGCAACGCCGCGUGCGGGAUGACGGCCUUCGGGGUGUAAACCGCUUUCGCCUGUGACGAAGCGUGAGUGACGGUAAUGGGUAAAGAAGCACCGGCUAACUACGUG